This 334-nucleotide ribosomal RNA is filed under the name uncultured soil bacterium. RNAcentral's name for it is "bacterial SSU rRNA". It matches the Rfam family "Bacterial small subunit ribosomal RNA", at positions 26 to 376 of the family's 1533-position model. The record is from RNAcentral.
AGGACGAACGCUGGCGGCGUGCCUAAUACAUGCAAGUCUAAGGGGUGCAUACCCUUCGGGGUAUGUAUCACUGGCGCACGGGUGAGUAACGCGUAAGCUAUCUGCCCCUGGGUCUGGCAUAACCUCGGGAAACCGGGACUAAUUCCAGAUGAUACCGAAAGGUCAAAGCUUCGGCGCCCAGGGAUGAGCUUGCGUCUGAUUAGCUUGUUGGCGGGGUAAUGGCCCACCAAGGCUACGAUCAGUAGCCGGUCUGAGAGGAUGAUCGGCCACAUUGGGACUGAGACACGGCCCAGACUCCGUACGGGAGCAGCAGUAAGAAUAUUGCGCAAUGGAC